RNAcentral lists this ribosomal RNA (485 nucleotides) under uncultured bacterium. Its description in RNAcentral is "bacterial SSU rRNA". It matches the Rfam family "Bacterial small subunit ribosomal RNA", at positions 28 to 509 of the family's 1533-position model. The record is from RNAcentral.
GAUGAACGCUAGCGGCAGGCCUAACACAUGCAAGUCGAGGGGCAGCACAGGUAGCAAUACUGGGUGGCGACCGGCGGAUGGGUGCGUAACGCGUAUGCAACCUACCAUUGAUUGGGGCAUAGCCCGAAGAAAUUCGGAUUAAUACUCCAUAAUAUUCAUCAAAGGCAUCUUUUAUGAAUUAAAGCUUUUGCGAUCAAUGAUGGGCAUGCGUGACAUUAGUUAGUUGGUGAGGUAACGGCUCACCAAAACGAUGAUGUCUAGGGGUUCUGAGAGGAUUAUCCCCCCAACUGGUACUGAGACACGGACCAGACUCCUACGGGAGGCAGCAGUGAGGAAUAUUGGUCAAUGGACGCAAGUCUGAACCAGCCAUGCCGCGUGCAGGAUGACGGCCCUAUGGGUUGUAAACUGCUUUUCCACGGGAAGAACCCUCCGACGUGUCGGAGACUGACGGUACCGUGGGAAUAAGCAUCGGCUAACUCCGUGCC